RNAcentral lists this ribosomal RNA (467 nucleotides) under uncultured organism. RNAcentral's name for it is "partial 16S ribosomal RNA". It matches the Rfam family "Bacterial small subunit ribosomal RNA", at positions 332 to 796 of the family's 1533-position model. The record is from RNAcentral.
UACACUCCUGCGGGAGGCAGCAGUGAGGAAUAUUGGACAAUGGGUGGAAGCCUGAUCCAGCCAUCCCGCGUGCAGGAAGACGGCCCUAUGGGUUGUAAACUGCUUUUAUCUGGGGAUAAACCUACUUACGUGUAAGUAGCUGAAGGUACCAGAAGAAUAAGCACCGGCUAACUCCGUGCCAGCAGCCGCGGUAAUACGGAGGGUGCAAGCGUUAUCCGGAUUUAUUGGGUUUAAAGGGUCCGUAGGCGGACUGAUAAGUCAGUGGUGAAAUCCGACAGCUUAACUGUCGAACUGCCAUUGAUACUGUUAGUCUUGAGUAAGGUUGAAGUGGCUGGAAUAAGUAGUGUAGCGGUGAAAUGCAUAGAUAUUACUUAGAACACCAAUUGCGAAGGCAGGUCACUAAGUCUUAACUGACGCUGAUGGACGAAAGCGUGGGGAGCGAACAGGAUUAGAAACCCGAGUAGUCC